CAUCGACACCCCAUACUUUGAUAAAUUAUGAAAGCCCUUGUUACCAACAUUGAGGCAUAGAAAUAAUCUUAUCGAAUUAAAAUGACUGCUGUUGCAUUUUGGUGGCACAUACCAUACUUGUUUUUAACAUAGACGUAUUAUACUUACUUUUCUUUAGGUUGGUAUGAUUGGUAGUAAAACGUCAAACGUCAUUUGAAUUGUCGUGAACGUGGAAAUACGUGGUUAUUUUUUAUUGUAAUUGGUAAAAUAACUUUAGCUGUUAUUUAAAUGGGGGCCAAAUCUUUAAGGAAAUGUGAAGUUUGUAGUGGGUGUGUAAGAAGACUAACUACUGACGCAUUUUUGGCCAAAUUUCCAACUUGAUCCGAACAGGUCGGUAAACUGAUGUUUGUAUGCAAUAUUUUCAUUUUUUACUUUGAGUCGUUAACAGUUACUAAUUUAAUUAGUUUUAGUCGUGUACAAUCCAUGAUUAAAACGAAAAUAUUUUGUGAAUAAAGUAUUUUUAAGUAAAAAACUAAGUAACCUAUGACACGAAUAGUGUACGACCAAUUUUAUCGAUAAUCUCUUUAUUUCAGAUGUCGAUUAUGGGCAAAGCUGAGGAAAAGGAAAUGAGGAUUUGGCGUAUUUAUUUACCUAUUCAAAAGCUGAAUGGAAACAAGUUCAUUUGUGGAAAUCAUUCUCCAUCCAGUGCCUUCAAUAAAAAGGGACCAGAUUAAAAAAGAAUGCGCGCGAAUUCAGCAUAUUGUAAUAUGCCUACUUGAAUAAUAAACUAUGUUAUUUUUAUCAUGUAAAAUAAAAUUGUUUAUAUAUAUAUAAUGUUCUUUUAUUUUAUUAAUAGGUAGUACAGUAGGUAAAUACAGCAGCACGUAUCGCACAUUUAUCGAUAUCGAUAAACAGUAGGUACUGGAAGUGUCGAGCCCUAGCGUUGUUUUUUUUUGUGUUGGUAGUAUUGUGUGGUUUUUCUUUUUUUAACAAUUAUGGCCUGGAUGCGAGAUCUUUAAGCCUGUAUUUGGUGUGUUGGGAUAUGUACGUUCAUAAUUCGGUUCGAGGAUUGUUCGAGAGUGCCGACUCUUAAAACGUAGUGAUUAUAUGCUCUUUGACAAAUACAAUAAAAUGAAUUCUAAUAAAAAAAGAAACAGUAGACUCAGUAGAGGUACGAGGUACUGAAAAAAUAUUAAUUAAUGGAGAAGCCGAAGUUGGAGGAAAACAAGAAGAUUCGAGGAGAAUGGUGUGGCACUUAAUGCCGCCGGGACAGUAACCUAGCUGCAGCUCCAACGCUAGGGAAUUGGGCUGAAUGAACGCAACACGUGAUCGACAGCCCACCUGCUUCCUGCCGAGCGUCCCUACACUACAUUUACAUGGAUUCGCUUAUUCUGCUCUACAAAACUUCUGAGCUGAUACAAGCAGCCAGAAUGAGUCUCUGCUGAGUCGCCUGACGACUGACGUCUUCGUGUGAGUCGCCAAUUGCAGGGGAAGAUACGAAUAGUUAGGUAUAAAAGCUACUUUAGUCAACCUCGCCUCAGUACUGUUUGUAUUGACUGAAAUACAAGUAGCAUAUAUGAGACGUUCGGACGUAUCCGUGAAAAUACGAAGGUAAAGGAAAUUGCACUACAUUUUUAGAACCUAUUCACCUGUCAGUAAAAUAUUGAAAAGGAAAGUUCAUGAGUUUUAUUAUUUUCUUUCCUCCAACAGCUUCACAUGGAGCAAAUGUAAACCUUUUAUGUUCAUAAUAUCAGUAAUGUCAAGGUACAACGCUCUUUAGAGCAUAUUGCCAUUCCUUUUACUCGAGUGGCCUGUGGGUUAACUAUACGAAGCGAGCCUACAAUGCAUUAAAAGUGCAGUAUAACAAUGCAUUCAGAAUGCUGUUGGGCUUACCUCGUAGAUGUAGUGCAUCCGGCAUGUUUUGCGAAGCUAGAAGUUUUCUGGCAAUCAUGCGCAAGAAAAUAGUAUCUCUAGGUCGAGUUAGAAGCAGUCCCAAACAUACAUGUUCGAAAAGUAGAACUCCCUUAGUAGGCCAAGCAAUAAGAAGUUAUAGAGGGAAAUGCUAGGAACACAAUUUUUGACUACGUAACUUUGUUUGGACUAGUUAGGAGGUGAACAUAUCAAAAGUCCCCGGCUGUAGCCCCGGUGCU
Long non-coding RNA from Cydia fagiglandana, 2129 nucleotides. RefSeq lists it as uncharacterized. The transcript is spliced from 3 exons. Lineage: Eukaryota; Metazoa; Arthropoda; Insecta; Lepidoptera; Tortricidae. The record is from RefSeq and is a predicted model, not a curated record.